This is a long non-coding RNA of Fundulus heteroclitus (mummichog), 603 nucleotides long. RefSeq lists it as uncharacterized. NCBI's taxonomy places the organism in Eukaryota, Metazoa, Chordata, Actinopteri, Cyprinodontiformes, Fundulidae. The transcript is spliced from 3 exons. The record is from RefSeq and is a predicted model, not a curated record.
UCUAAAAAAUCAAGCAUGGGGGUAGUAAAUUCAGCUUAAAUAAAUACACAAUUUUAAUAUAAACAUUUAAGUUUGCAGCAUUUAUUUGUUAAACUAAGUAACCAGCUUGAUUAAUCUAGGUAAACCAACUUGAAAAAUAUGAAAAUAGCCAUACUCAUUUUCCUGUGUAAUUUGAAUGCAUGACAAUGCAACAGCUCAACUUGUCUCAAAUUUUAAGUUGUUUCAGCUCAAAUAAUAUUUUUAAACCUGGGUGAGGCCACUCAAGCAGCAGACGAGACUCCACGUGCAGCCUGUUUGGAAAGUCGACGCACUCAUGUCUUCUUUGCACAGAGCUACUAUCUGCUUUGGAAUUUCAUCUUUUGUGCUUUGGAACAUCUGACAAGUUCUCUGUCGGGAUCAGAAUUAUUGCUGGAGGACCAUUAACCGACUACGUGGUUGCCCGGAUUGAUGCCAUUGGUGAUGUCAAGAGGAGGGGCUGCCAAAUAUAAGAUCCAGAAAAUCAUGGAACUUCUGAAGGUGCUUGAUAUGAUCAACACAGUUGAAACUCGCAGAGAGGUUGCCAUUCGCUGCUUAGUGCUCUGCCUUGGGGAAAAUGAGGACAGU